This 433-nucleotide ribosomal RNA is filed under the name uncultured bacterium. RNAcentral's name for it is "partial 16S ribosomal RNA". It matches the Rfam family "Bacterial small subunit ribosomal RNA", at positions 29 to 507 of the family's 1533-position model. The record is from RNAcentral.
AACGAACGCUGGCGGCAUGCCUAACACAUGCAAGUCGAACGAGACCUUCGGGUCUAGUGGCGCACGGGUGCGUAACGCGUGGGAACCUGCCCUUAGGUUCGGAAUAACUCCCCGAAGGGGGUCCUAAUACCGGAUAAGGUCUUCGGACCAAGGAUUUGUCGCCUUUGGAUGGGCCCUCGUUGGUUUAGCUGGUUGGUAGGGUAAAAGCCUACCAAGGCGACGUUCCAUGGCUGGUCUGAGAGGAUGAUCCGCCCAACUGGGACUGAGACACGGCCCAGACUCCUACGGGAGGCAGCAGUGGGGAAUAUUGGACGAUGGGCGAAAGCCUGAUCCAGCAAUGCCGCGUGAGUGAUGAAGGCCUUAGGGUUGUAAAGCUCUUUUACCCGGGAUGAUAAUGACAGUACCGGGAGAAUAAGCUCCGGCUAACUCCGUG